ACUCCUACGGGAGGCAGCAGUAGGGAAUCUUCCACAAUGGGCGCAAGCCUGAUGGAGCAACACCGCGUGAGUGAAGAAGGGUUUCGGCUCGUAAAGCUCUGUUGUUAAAGAAGAACACGUAUGAGAGUAACUGUUCAUACGUUGACGGUAUUUAACCAGAAAGUCACGGCUAACUACGUGCCGGCAGCCGCGGUAAUACGUAGGUGGCAAGCGUUAUCCGGAUUUAUUGGGCGUAAAGAGAGUGCAGGCGGUUUCUAAGUCUGAUGUGAAAGCCUUCGGCUUAACCGGAGAAGUGCAUCGGAAACUGGAUAACUUGAGUGCAGAAGAGGGUAGUGGAACUCCAUGUGUAGCGGUGGAAUGCGUAGAUAUAUGGAAGAACACCAGUGGCGAAGGCGGCUACCUGGUCUGCAACUGACGCUGAGACUCGAAAGCAUGGGUAGCGAACAGGAUUAGAUACCCCUGGUAGGAUAGCG
This 473-nucleotide ribosomal RNA is filed under the name uncultured bacterium. Its description in RNAcentral is "bacterial SSU rRNA". It matches the Rfam family "Bacterial small subunit ribosomal RNA", at positions 335 to 801 of the family's 1533-position model. The record is from RNAcentral.